Long non-coding RNA from Cyprinus carpio (common carp), 1803 nucleotides. NCBI's taxonomy places the organism in Eukaryota, Metazoa, Chordata, Actinopteri, Cypriniformes, Cyprinidae. The record is from Ensembl.
AAAUCACGUGAUUUCAGUGAAACUUCAUUGGAAAUUUCAGUGGUUCGCCGCUAGGGGUGUUGUCUGUCAUCCAUAAGUAUAUCAGAAGUCAACACCAGUCCGCUUCGAGGUCGAUAGCCUAGUGAGCAGCGCGCAGACAUGGCAUGCCGAUAGUCUUCAAGCAUCCGGAGUUCGAGUCCCAGCUCGCGAACUCCCACUUCGCUACAAAUAUUCUCGGUCAUCCCACUUCGCUUUAAGACCGAUGUCAUGAUGUUCGGGUAUCCCUGUGAGCGCCUCCGACGUCCGUGGUUCAACAUGAAAAACAGCAGUGUACAGCACCGGGUCGACGGCAUCCCUGCGAGACAAAAGUGUGCUUCGGAAAUCUUGAUUCCGAGGAUGCCUUCAAAACCGAAAGCCUCGUAGCUUCGUCGGUUUGUGCGCUUCGGAUAUCCUGAGUUCGGGUACGAGUCCCUCUUCGCUUAAUAACAGCAAUUUCAAAUUGCCGAAAAUUUGGCAUCAUGUCUUCAUAUAAGUAUCUGUUGCAAGUGUUUCACCUCAUUGUGACGGGCCGGAUCUCUGGAUUUCUGGACUGGAAUACAAGUGCGAAUCCGGACAAGGCCAUUGAUCAACAAACAACUAAAUUAAGAAGGUUCAAAAGGACACGCAUACGAAAACUGCAUUCAUGGAUAUGCAACAGACUGUGUUUGUAGCUGUUGAGAGUACUGGUCCCUCAUCCAAUUCAACAAGCCACAAGGAAGAUGUAUCUCUCAACUGCAGCAUUACGAAUGAAGAAUUCACCGUUCCUUGCAUGAGCUCCUCUGAUGUGGAAGCUUGCAUUGAAAUGUUAAAAUCACAUCCAGGUCCACUGUUGUUCAGAAAUGGAGUGCUCUAUAGACAGUCUGAUAUCAAAAACUGGAAUGAAUUCCGGUUAAGAAGAGAGCCAGUGUGCUUGAUCAAACUAAAACGAGAAAACAGAAUCAGGUCCUGUUAUGGAGUCUAUCUGGGGAAUGAUUACACCUUGACUGCCUGUCAUACAUUUGAGUACGCUUGUCUAUAUGACGCAUAUGUUUUCUUCCCCACCACAGACUUUGUUCUGAUUUAUGAGGCAGAACUUCCCAAAGAACAGCACAUGUUUCAUGACAAAGAUCAGUGCCUUGUUAAAUUACUCGGGCAAACAGAUGUUUUGGGAAAAGGUUUACUUGACCGCAUUUGUGCACCCAGUAAGAACAAGGAUUUAUAUUUCUACACAUUUAAUAACCAGGGUGAUCUUCAAAUGCACACAUGCAAAGAUAUCACUCAUUCCUCUGCCAUGAAUGAGAAAAACCAAAGAAAUGAGUUUCUGAUGUCCACGGCAGGUCAGCCAGGUGAAAGUGGCAAUCCUGUUUUCAGUUUGAGAUCCAAAAAAUGUGUGGGAAUAUACAAAGGUAUCACAAAGUCAAAGAAAGGAUGUGCAUCACAAAUAGAUUACAAACAGUUGAUAGAAAAUACAACAUCAGGAAGAACAGAUCUGUACUGUUUGAACAUGCUCUACAGCAUCUUGUCCACUUUUAAGACUAGAUUUUUCUUUUUGCUGACCCCAAACAAUCAAACCUCUGCUGAUGAUUCAGAUUGAAGUGGUGGUGUAUCUGGUCUCAAAUCUUAAAGGGAGUCCAUAUCCUCUCUUUAGGCUCAUUUAAAAAUGUGCCAGACCCAUCACCGGUGAUCCCUGUGAGAUGUGUGCUGGUUAGAAAUGUGUCUGAGUGCGCUCCGACUUGUUCCAUUCUCUGUAUUGAAUAGAUGAUUGUUGUCAUAAAAAAAUAAAAAAAUAAAAAUGGAUGGAAAACA